This 895-nucleotide ribosomal RNA is filed under the name Psychrobacter sp. TB58. RNAcentral describes it as "bacterial SSU rRNA". It matches the Rfam family "Bacterial small subunit ribosomal RNA", at positions 92 to 994 of the family's 1533-position model. The record is from RNAcentral. Lineage: Bacteria; Pseudomonadati; Pseudomonadota; Gammaproteobacteria; Moraxellales; Moraxellaceae.
GUGAUGUCAUAUGAGCUUCAGGAUAUCUACCUAGUAGUGGGGGAUAGCACGGGGAAACUCGUAUUAAUACCGCAUACGACCUACGGGAGAAAGGGGGCAGUUUACUGCUCUCGCUAUUAGAUGAGCCUAAGUCGGAUUAGCUAGAUGGUGGGGUAAAGGCCUACCAUGGCGACGAUCUGUAGCUGGUCUGAGAGGAUGAUCAGCCACACCGGGACUGAGACACGGCCCGGACUCCUACGGGAGGCAGCAGUGGGGAAUAUUGGACAAUGGGGGAAACCCUGAUCCAGCCAUGCCGCGUGUGUGAAGAAGGCCUUUUGGUUGUAAAGCACUUUAAGCAGUGAAGAAGACUCCGUGGUUAAUACCCACGGACGAUGACAUUAGCUGCAGAAUAAGCACCGGCUAACUCUGUGCCAGCAGCCGCGGUAAUACAGAGGGUGCAAGCGUUAAUCGGAAUUACUGGGCGUAAAGGGAGCGUAGGUGGCUCUAUAAGUCAGAUGUGAAAUCCCCGGGCUCAACCUGGGAACUGCAUCUGAAACUGUAGAGCUAGAGUAUGUGAGAGGAAGGUAGAAUUCCAGGUGUAGCGGUGAAAUGCGUAGAGAUCUGGAGGAAUACCGAUGGCGAAGGCAGCCUUCUGGCAUAAUACUGACACUGAGGCUCGAAAGCGUGGGUAGCAAACAGGAUUAGAUACCCUGGUAGUCCACGCCGUAAACGAUGUCUACUAGUCGUUGGGUCCCUUGAGGACUUAGUGACGCAGCUAACGCAAUAAGUAGACCGCCUGGGGAGUACGGCCGCAAGGUUAAAACUCAAUGAAUUGACGGGGGCCCGCACAAGCGGUGGAGCAUGUGGUUUAAUUCGAUGCAACGCGAGAACCUUACCUGGUCUUGACAUAUCUAGA